GACGGAGGGAGCUAGCGUUGUUCGGAAUGACUGGGCGUAAAGGGCGCGUAGGCGGUUUUUUAAGUGAGGCGUGAAAGCCCUGGGCUUAACCCAGGAGGUGCGUUUCAUACUGGAAGACUUGAGUACGGGAGAGGGUAGUGGAAUUCCUAGUGUAGGAGUGAAAUCCGUAGAUAUUAGGAGGAACACCGGUGGCGAAGGCGGCUGCCUGGACCGAUACUGACGCUGAGACGCGAAAGCGUGGGGAGCAAACAGGAUUAGAUACCCUAGUAGU
Molecule: ribosomal RNA, 271 nt
Filed under: uncultured bacterium
Lineage: Bacteria
Description: partial 16S ribosomal RNA
Rfam family: Bacterial small subunit ribosomal RNA
Source: RNAcentral